AGAGCGAACGCUGGCGGCAGGCCUAACACAUGCAAGUCGAGCGCCCCGCAAGGGGAGCGGCAGACGGGAGAGUAACACGUGGGAACGUACCCUUCAGUUCGGAACAACCCAGGGAAACUUGGGCUAAUACCGAAUACGUCCGUAAGGAGAAAGAUUUAUCGCUGAAGGAUCGGCCCGCGUCUGAUUAGCUUGUUGGUGAGGUAAUGGCUCACCAAGGCUACGAUCAGUAGCUGGUCUGAGAGGAUGAUCAGCCUCACUGGGACUGAGACACGGCCCAGACUCCUACGGGAGGCAGCAGUGGGGAAUAUUGGACAAUGGGCGCAAGCCUGAUCCAGCCAUGCCGCGUGGGUGAUGAAGGCCCUAGGGUUGUAAAGCCCUUUCGGCGGGGAAGAUAAUGACGGUACCCGCAGAAGAAGCCCCGGCUAACUUCGUGCCAGCAGCCGC
Molecule: ribosomal RNA, 444 nt
Filed under: uncultured bacterium
Lineage: Bacteria
Description: SSU rRNA
Rfam family: Bacterial small subunit ribosomal RNA
Source: RNAcentral